UCUAAUAUGACAGACUCAUAUGUAUUGGAUUUAAACCCCAAAAAUGAAAAUUUUAAUUUUCUAUUAGAA
RNAcentral lists this transfer RNA (69 nucleotides) under Oecetis caucula. RNAcentral's name for it is "tRNA-Leu". The record is from RNAcentral. Lineage: Eukaryota; Metazoa; Arthropoda; Insecta; Trichoptera; Leptoceridae.